UUGGGCGUCGACAAGUGGUAAGUCAACUGACUCUGAAUCAGUCAUUCGGAGGUUCGAAUCCUUCCGCCCAAG
RNAcentral lists this transfer RNA (72 nucleotides) under Entomospira culicis. It matches the Rfam family "tRNA". From Rfam's summary of the family: Transfer RNA (tRNA) molecules are approximately 80 nucleotides in length. Lineage: Bacteria; Pseudomonadati; Spirochaetota; Spirochaetia; Spirochaetales; Spirochaetaceae. The record is from Rfam by way of RNAcentral.